GGCGAACGGGUGAGUAACGGGUGGAUAAUCUGCCUUUCGGUGUGGGACAACGGCUGGAAACGGCCGCUAAUACCGCAUGCGGUUGCCGUGAUUGUGGUCAUGGCAAAGAAAGGGGCUGCAAGGCCUCGCCGAAAGAUGAGUCCGCCUCCCAUUAGCUAGUUGGCGGGAUAAUAGCCCACCAAGGCUCCGAUGGGUAGCCGAGCUGAGAGGUUGAUCGGCCACACUGGAACUGAGACACGGUCCAGACACCUACGGGUGGCAGCAGUAGGGAAUAUUGGUCAAUGGGCGCAAGCCUGAACCAGCCAUGCCGCGUGAGUGAUGAAGGCCUUCGGGUCGUAAAACUCUUUUCUGAGGGAAGAACAUCUCGCGUAGGAAAUGACGCGGGCUUGACGGUACCUCAGGAAUAAGCAACGGCUAACUCCGUGCCAGCAGCCGCGGUAAUACGGAGGUUGCAAGCGUUGUUCGGAAUGACUGGGCGUAAAGGGAGCGCAGGCGGUGGGGUACGUCGAAAGUGAAAGCCCGGGGCUUAACCUCGGAAGUGCUUUCGAUACGGCCCUGCUCGAGUUCGUGAGAGGAAAGCGGAAUUCCAGGUGUGGCGGUGAAAUGCGUAGAUAUCUGGAGGAACACCGGUGGCGAAAGCGGCUUUCUGGCACGAUACUGACGCUGAGGCUCGAAAGCGUGGGGAGCGAACGGGAUUAGAGACCCCGGUAGUCCAUGC
Molecule: ribosomal RNA, 718 nt
Filed under: uncultured bacterium
Lineage: Bacteria
Description: bacterial SSU rRNA
Rfam family: Bacterial small subunit ribosomal RNA
Source: RNAcentral